Non-coding RNA from Potamilus streckersoni, 73 nucleotides. The record is from the annotation of a GenBank genome assembly. Lineage: Eukaryota; Metazoa; Mollusca; Bivalvia; Unionida; Unionidae.
GCUCCUGAGGCUUAGUGGUUAGAGCUGCCGCCUCGGAUGCGGAAGGUCAUGGGUUCGAUCCCCUGUCGAGUCA